Long non-coding RNA from Panthera uncia (snow leopard), 1298 nucleotides. RefSeq lists it as uncharacterized. The transcript is spliced from 3 exons. The record is from RefSeq and is a predicted model, not a curated record. NCBI's taxonomy places the organism in Eukaryota, Metazoa, Chordata, Mammalia, Carnivora, Felidae.
UCCCGGGGGCAGGACACUCCCUCAACUGGAAAGGCCAGUUCCGCUCAAGCUAAAGGAGCAGCUAGGAAGUGACUUCACAAAAAUCUUCCUCUGCUCUAGGGUAAUUUGUGCCUUUCAUGAUUUAACUCAGUCUACCACAUCUUGACCUAGUUGAAAACUGGGUCAGACCAUUUUAUAAACGGAAGCCUAAAAACCACCCACCUUUAAACAAAUUCCUAUUUUGCACUAUUUUCCAUAUUCAGUUUCUUUUCUAAGUUUUUGGAGAUGCUCACAAAAACUGCUUGAGCCCGACGAAGAGCCCGGACUCUGAAUCCACAGAGAAUUGGAAAGGAACAGGAAAUUCACCAGACAGAGAGAGGAUGAGGGUUGAUUCAGUCGCCUGGGUUCGUGCUGUGGAGUCAUGAGGCCGGUGUAGAGGCUUGUGAUACCCUGGCGAUUAGCACGAGUCCAGCGGGACCCUUGUGAAGGGCAGACACAGGAGAAAAAGAGACCUCUGGAGCAUCCCUAGUGGGAAAGAGAAUUGGCGCACGAAGACAGCUGAGACUGAGAUGAAGACAAAGGUUCUUAUCCUGUUUGAACAAGUUUCCAGAGCUUUCUACCCUCAGAAGGGGAAGGAGACUGUCUUUUAGCGUGAGGCAUGCAAAGUGUAACCUGCCCUUCCAGGGUGGGCUCUUCCAAUUACCACGGGGCUGCCCAAAGAAAAUCAUCGGAAUUGAAGAUACAGCAUCGCACUGGUAGGCUGUAGAAUGAGGGAAGCAGCAGCCCUUCCCUUGUGGCGUUCAGACCACAAGCAGAGAAGGAGCCAUACCUGGAAAAGGAGAAGAGGGUGUGCAGGGUUUCGAGGUACCUUGAAGGGCACAUAGAGCUGGCUUCCCAUGGGCUGUCCUGUAGAAGAUUUAUUAGACUUGCUGAGUCUGGUCUCCAGGGCUGGACUGUUGGUGGACACUGAAGAUUUAUCCUGUUAGAACAAAGCUAUCUCUAACUGCCUUGAGAAGUGCAUUCUUUACUCCUGGAAAGAACCAAGGUACCAACACUUCGAGGACAAUAGCAUCAGUGGGACAGCCAGCCCUGAAAGCUAACUUCACUUCGUUGUUUCAAAAAGUGGUGGUUUCCACUGUGAAGAAAUGUGGUUUAAAUUUUUUAUUGUUUUCACUGCUGGAGGUUAACGUGGUGAGUGAAUUUUGAGAACAAGCAUUUCCAACAGUUCUGCUCUAACAUGAAAGUGGAGACCAUGUAACAACAUAUUUUAGGAACUCUAACUUGGAAGGUGCUAAAAAAAAAAAAAAAAGAAAAGAAAA